This is a long non-coding RNA of Ornithorhynchus anatinus (platypus), 640 nucleotides long. RefSeq lists it as uncharacterized. Lineage: Eukaryota; Metazoa; Chordata; Mammalia; Monotremata; Ornithorhynchidae. The record is from RefSeq and is a predicted model, not a curated record. The transcript is spliced from 3 exons.
CCGGCUUGGCGGGGCUUACAAAUCAGACACCCCGAUUUCCCAUAUCAGCAGAACACUCGAAAAAUAUUUGAUGCCUGACCCUUGAGUCAGCCAGGAACACGACUGAAAGGUCUGUUUCCUGGACAAAUAGGCGCGCGAGAAGACGUCUGAAUGUUUGAGGAACAUGAACGCUCGUGUCCUUCUCACCGUGUACAUUUGCACACGUGAGCAUUAACCGAGUGGCGACGCAGUUGAAAUCACAAAGCCGGAAAGAUGAGGAAACCGAGAGCCAUCGAAGUUUCGUGACACGGCCAAGGUCAAACGGCAGACACGUGGCGGAGCCAGGAUUAGGACCCAGGUCUGGGCUCUACCUAUCUAGGCAAUGCUGCUUCUCGAUCAUCUAUCCAUCCUCCCUGAAAAAGUCGCCAUACAAAGCUCCGCGGCACCACAGCCAACCUGCCAUUGUGGGUCCGCUGCUCUAAGUGGAGGGCUGGAAGCCUGGCCCCCGAAGGGUUAAACUGCUCUUCUGGUGGAUAUUCCUCAGGCGGAGGGGGGCUCCCUGGCAGGUGCCAGGGGAAAGAGGAGGUAACAAAGCGAGAGUCUGGGCCACACGUAUUGUGGGCACACUUCAGCUAUUCACAGCCCAGACAGAGGAAAUGAA